AGCCAGCUGGAGGUGCAGAAGUGAUGGAAAACUCUCACAGUGAGAAGAACAUGAACUCACAGCCACCGAGGCCUGACGGGUUCCUGCAGUGAGAGCUCAGCGCUUGUCUGCAGAGAGAGAGAGGGGAGACGUGGGAAUGGGAAAACCAGAAACUCCCACAGACACUGAAAGAUUUGAUCUGCAGCCUCGGGAGAAGCUGGGAUUGAUGUACCAAUACAAGACACGGGCAUUACGCAGGAAAAGAAUAAAA
Molecule: long non-coding RNA, 250 nt
Filed under: Taeniopygia guttata (zebra finch)
Lineage: Eukaryota; Metazoa; Chordata; Aves; Passeriformes; Estrildidae
Description: lncRNA (ENSTGUG00000028062.1)
Source: RNAcentral